GGCAGGUACUCGCAUGCUUCCCUUGACAGCAGACGCAGGCUGCAUUUAUUAACCCUCAAGUCACACCACUGACCUCCUUUUUCUGAAAUGUCUGAAGGAGGAACAGAUAGCUGGGUGCACGAACAUUCAGUAAGAGACCGACAGAGAUAAGGGCCCAGUUGCAUCCUUCUGUGAACGAGAUAACGGGGGUCUUCAGCACAAAGCAGGAGGAAAACCAGCUCAAGCCAUUGGAGCCUUGGCCAAACCCAGUGUGCUAGAUGAGAAGUGCAUGACAAGAUAGACUGCAGCCUUCGUCCAAAAGACCCCCGCCCGUGACCACCCGGAGACACUGUGCAGGCGCAACAGGAAAGAGCCAAAGGUGACCACUAUGGAUAUAAUUCCUUGGAACUCAUUUUAAUAAGAACGGCCUUUUCGAGGAAAAAGUUAUUCCAGGCAUUCCUGGAAUAACCAUGAAUGUGUAAUCCUUUACCACAUUUAACCAAGCUUGCUGCUACUGGAAAGGUGUGUGCCACGGUGGAGCGGAGACUCCCCGGCGGCCCAGCACUGUUUUGCCUGCUUGCUGCUUGCUGCAAUAAAUUCUAAGCAA
Molecule: long non-coding RNA, 586 nt
Organism: Columba livia (rock pigeon)
Lineage: Eukaryota; Metazoa; Chordata; Aves; Columbiformes; Columbidae
Exons: 2
Source: RefSeq, a predicted model, not a curated record